UUCCAAAGCUAUAGGCCCCUGGACCAGGACACCAAUGUUCCCUGGGGAAUGUAUUAGAAAGUAUAGCACACAGCUCUCAUCCGAGUCACCUGUGCAAGAAGUGUACCUGUGCUCACUUCCUUUGUCUCCAAGAACAGAGAGCAAACCCACAUUCCUGGACACUUCUCAGGGGUCCUGCUUGCUGCAGUAAACAUUCUGUGAGGUCCUACUUCCUAAAGAUUCUACAACCUCUCCGAACAACUCCACCAAGGGCAGACAUUUACAUUCAAUUCCCAGCAAAGUCAUCGUCUUGUUAGAGCCCCUGCUCAGUGAUUUCUGGCAACAUCAAAGAAAUGAUACAACAAAUGGGAUGCUCUCUGAACAUAAAGAUGCUGGAUCCUUCCGUCUCUUUUAGGAAAUAAUGUUGUCAGCAACACCUCUCAGUCGAGAUUACCA
Long non-coding RNA from Mus pahari (shrew mouse), 435 nucleotides. RefSeq lists it as uncharacterized. The transcript has 4 exons. Lineage: Eukaryota; Metazoa; Chordata; Mammalia; Rodentia; Muridae. The record is from RefSeq and is a predicted model, not a curated record.